GACGAACGCUGGCGGCGUGCUUAACACAUGCAAGUCGAACGGAAAGGCCUGCUUUCCCUUGUGGAUUGCGGGUACUCGAGUGGCGAACGGGUGAGUAACACGUGAGUGAUCUGCCCCCAACUUGGGUAUAAGCCUGGGAAACUGGGUCUAAUUCCCGAUAGGACUGCAGGGUGGUGCCUGUGGUGGAAAACGAUUUUCUAGUGGUGGGGGAUGAGCUCGCGGCCUAUCAGCUUGUUGGUGGGGUAAUGGCCUACCAAGGCGGCGACUGGUAGCCGGCCUGAGAGGGUGGACGGCCAAAUUGAGACUGGGAUACGGCCCAGACUCCUACGGGAGGCAGCAGUUGGGAAUAUUGCACAAUGAGCGGAAGCCUGAUGCAGCGACGCCGCGUGGGAGAUGACGGCCUUCGGGUUGUAAACUCCUUUCGACCGCGAGGAAGCCACCUGGUUGGAAGGGUGGUGACGGUAGUGGGAGAAGAAGCACCGGCUAACUACGUG
Molecule: ribosomal RNA, 494 nt
Filed under: uncultured bacterium
Lineage: Bacteria
Description: partial 16S ribosomal RNA
Rfam family: Bacterial small subunit ribosomal RNA
Source: RNAcentral